This 254-nucleotide ribosomal RNA is filed under the name uncultured bacterium. RNAcentral describes it as "partial 16S ribosomal RNA". It matches the Rfam family "Bacterial small subunit ribosomal RNA", at positions 524 to 776 of the family's 1533-position model. The record is from RNAcentral.
UACGUAGGUGGCAAGCGUUGUCCGGAUUUACUGGGCGUAAAGCGCGCGUAGGCGGCCCGCACAAGUCUGCGGUGAAAACCCCCGGCUUAACCGGGGGCCGGCCGUGGAAACUGUCGGGCUGGAGGCUGGGAGAGGGCAGCGGAAUUCCCGGUGUAGUGGUGAAAUGCGUAGAGAUCGGGAGGAACACCGGCGGCGAAGGCGGCUGCCUGGACCAGUCCUGACGCUGAGGCGCGAAAGCUGGGGGAGCAAACAGG